GCACCUUUAGCUCAGCUGGUUAGAGCGUUCGAUUCACAUUCGAAAGGUCGUAGGUUCGAAUCCUACAAGGUGCACCA
Molecule: transfer RNA, 77 nt
Filed under: Candidatus Kaiserbacteria bacterium RIFCSPHIGHO2_01_FULL_55_17
Lineage: Bacteria; Candidatus Kaiseribacteriota
Description: tRNA-Val
Rfam family: tRNA
About the family: Transfer RNA (tRNA) molecules are approximately 80 nucleotides in length. Their secondary structure includes four short double-helical elements and three loops (D, anti-codon, and T loops).
Source: RNAcentral